ACAAGUUUUGAACGAUAAGGUUAUUUUCCCUUGAUUCCUUCUCACCUUUUGUACAUGAAAAUCCGUACAUGAAUCUUGUCUCCUAUUUUUCUAGUAUUCUAUAAUACUUGUACAACCUAAACCCACGCAAACUUGGUUUUGAUUUACAAAAGUAAAUCCUUUUAGCUUCCAACUCUAAAUCUCGUGAAUCUCUCUAACAUUAUGUCAUGUAACUUAAAUAAGGAAAUUAUUUAUAUAAUGCAAAAUUCUAAUGGAUUUUAAAGUCUUAAAUAUUAGGAUUUUUAAAUAGUUGAAAGAAGGUUAGAUUUAAUAACUAAAAUUUUAGUUGAUUAAGAAUCCUAAAUAUUAAAAAAAUAAUUAAAUAACUAUUUUGUCUAGUGCAAAAUCUAUUUUUAAAGAGUAAAAAGGGCGAACAACAUUUUGAUAAUGACUUCGUACUUUUAAUAUACAAAAAAGGACCAAAAUUAUCCCUAAACUAUUGAAAAUAGAGCAAUUUUGUCCUCCCUUUGAUUUUGGUAUCAAAAAUAUCCUUAUUGUUGACAAACUAGCUCACUUAUACCCUCAAAACUAACGGUACUCCACAUAGGCACAAAGCAUCUAAAACGAAUUAUAUUUUGCUAAGGUGGAUCUCCACCGAGGAUCGACAUUAUCUUCUCAAACCUAAAGAAAACCAUGGCCGACCAUCAAAAAUUGCACUAGGAGGAGAACCAUCCACAACGACAAAGAGCCAAAUCUACCUUUUCACCACCAAGAUAUUCAUUGCAGCUGUCACAAUUCUAAUAACCUAAAAAAUAACUUUGAGUUAGAAAUUCAAGAUGUGAAGUUCAAAAUUGUGAAAUGCUUAUCUAAUCAAUUCUUCAUCUGCAAAACUAAAAACAAAAAUAUCAAACAACAUUAAUUAUAACACAUAAUCCUUUAAUAGAAGUGUUCACCAAAUUCAACAUGUCAUUCAGAUAUAGAUGAAAAACAAAGAAAUAACACCCACUACAAUAAGACAACUCAUGACCGCAGUCCACAGAGCUCUACUGCUGAAAAAAGGUAACCUGUCAUUAUUAAUAGUCCACCAGAACACUGAAGGUGUCGACCUUCUCCAUCACCUCUAAAACACUACCAAUGAGCUACACUCUAAACCCAUUUUCAAAAAUUUAAAUUUCUUCGUGAAAAAGCUUUAGAUUUGGCUGGCAAUAUCGCCCUCAGCACAAACCCCGACUAGAAAACCUUUAGAUCUGGACAAGGCCUUUCUGGCGCGAGUUAUCUUUUUCCGCCUAGGUUGCUGCCCCUUUUUUCUGGUAUUAAUUGGUGAUUCGUGCAAGGAAGAGAAGAUGAAAUAAAAGAGAAUCAGCUGGAAUAACUGGCAAGGGGUAC
Molecule: long non-coding RNA, 1365 nt
Filed under: Nicotiana tabacum (common tobacco)
Lineage: Eukaryota; Viridiplantae; Streptophyta; Magnoliopsida; Solanales; Solanaceae
Description: long non-coding RNA (NTAB_LNC002840)
Source: RNAcentral